This 441-nucleotide long non-coding RNA is filed under the name Setaria viridis. RNAcentral's name for it is "long non-coding RNA (SVIR_LNC004477)". The record is from RNAcentral. Lineage: Eukaryota; Viridiplantae; Streptophyta; Magnoliopsida; Poales; Poaceae.
UCCGGCCCCCGAUUCCUCUUUUAUAGCAUGAGGAGGCCACCGGGGUUACAGGUGAGACCAAGUGUGGAGAGCAGUAAAAAGAUAAACAUGGCUAGUAAAAAGAAUAACGAGAAGGGGGUACAAGUCCCCAGGUCGCCGGUGUCCACACCAGCCUUCGGCUUCUACCGGUGCGUUAGCCGGAAGGGGGUGGCGGCCGCUGCAUCCUAUCGGCGGCCUCCUCGGCAACUAUAGCCGCCGGACACGAUGAUGGCAUUUUGUCGUGACCCCCGUGUCCGCUGGGGGAGGCGGCGGAUCUUGCCGUCCUGCUGAUGGCCUGUGCAGAGCGUACGUCGCAUCCCUGCCACCGGGCGCGCGGGGCACGAGAGCAGGCGAGGCUUCUUCCUGCCCUAGGAGGUGCAGCUCAUGAGUGCCUUGUGCCCAAUCGGAGAAGGUCGCAGCCAC